Molecule: transfer RNA, 71 nt
Organism: Cavia porcellus (domestic guinea pig)
Lineage: Eukaryota; Metazoa; Chordata; Mammalia; Rodentia; Caviidae
Rfam family: tRNA
About the family: Transfer RNA (tRNA) molecules are approximately 80 nucleotides in length. Their secondary structure includes four short double-helical elements and three loops (D, anti-codon, and T loops).
Source: Rfam
UGGUAUUUAGCUCAGCGGCAUAAGUGCCUGCCUUGCAAGCAGGUGGUCAUGAGUUCGAUCCCUGAUACCAA